Molecule: transfer RNA, 75 nt
Filed under: Altererythrobacter sp.
Lineage: Bacteria; Pseudomonadati; Pseudomonadota; Alphaproteobacteria; Sphingomonadales; Erythrobacteraceae
Description: tRNA-Gly
Rfam family: tRNA
About the family: Transfer RNA (tRNA) molecules are approximately 80 nucleotides in length. Their secondary structure includes four short double-helical elements and three loops (D, anti-codon, and T loops).
Source: RNAcentral
GCGGGCGUAGCUCAGGGGUAGAGCACAACCUUGCCAAGGUUGGGGGCGGGCGUUCGAAGCGCCUCGCCCGCUCCA